CCUACGGGAGGCUGCAGUGGGGAAUAUUGGACAAUGGGCGAAAGCCUGAUCCAGCCAUGCCGCGUGUGUGAAGAAGGCCUUCGGGUUGUAAAGCACUUUCAUUGGGGAAGAAAGCCUUGGGGCUAAUACCCUCGAGGAAGGACAUCACCCACAGAAGAAGCACCGGCUAACUCCGUGCCAGCAGCCGCGGUAAUACGGAGGGUGCGAGCGUUAAUCGGAAUUACUGGGCGUAAAGCGCGCGUAGGCGGUCUGAUAAGCCGGUUGUGAAAGCCCCGGGCUCAACCUGGGAACGGCAUCCGGAACUGUCAGGCUAGAGUGCAGGAGAGGAAGGUAGAAUUCCCGGUGUAGCGGUGAAAUGCGUAGAGAUCGGGAGGAAUACCAGUGGCGAAGGCGGCCUUCUGGACUGACACUGACGCUGAGGUGCGAAAGCGUGGGUAGCAAACAGGAUUAGAUACCCUAGUAGUC
Molecule: ribosomal RNA, 465 nt
Filed under: Vreelandella stevensii
Lineage: Bacteria; Pseudomonadati; Pseudomonadota; Gammaproteobacteria; Oceanospirillales; Halomonadaceae
Description: partial 16S ribosomal RNA
Rfam family: Bacterial small subunit ribosomal RNA
Source: RNAcentral